GAUUUCGUAGAGUAGUCGCUAUCACAUCUGUCUAACACACAGAAGGUCGGCGGUUCGAGUCCGCCCGAGAUCA
This 73-nucleotide transfer RNA is filed under the name Angiostrongylus costaricensis. It matches the Rfam family "tRNA". From Rfam's summary of the family: Transfer RNA (tRNA) molecules are approximately 80 nucleotides in length. Their secondary structure includes four short double-helical elements and three loops (D, anti-codon, and T loops). The record is from Rfam by way of RNAcentral. Lineage: Eukaryota; Metazoa; Nematoda; Chromadorea; Rhabditida; Metastrongylidae.